CCUACGGGGGGCAGCAGUGGGGAAUAUUGCACAAUGGGCGCAAGCCUGAUGCAGCCAUGCCGCGUGUGUGAAGAAGGCCUUCGGGUUGUAAAGCACUUUCAGCGGGGAGGAAGGCGGUGAGGUUAAUAACCUCAUCGAUUGACGUUACCCGCAGAAUAAGCACCGGCUAACUCCAUGCCAGCAGCCGCGGUAAUACGGAGGGUGCAAGCGUUAAUCGGAAUUACUGGGCGUAAAGCGCACGCAGGCGGUCUGUCAAGUCGGAUGUGAAAUCCCCGGGCUCAACCUGGGAACUGCAUUCGAAACUGGCAGGCUAGAGUCUUGUAGAGGGGGGUAGAAUUCCAGGUGUAGCGGUGAAAUGCGUAGAGAUCUGGAGGAAUACCGGUGGCGAAGGCGGCCCCCUGGACAAAGACUGACGCUCAGGUGCGAAAGCGUGGGGAGCAAACAGGAUUAGAUACCCGUGUAGUC
Molecule: ribosomal RNA, 465 nt
Filed under: uncultured Klebsiella sp.
Lineage: Bacteria; Pseudomonadati; Pseudomonadota; Gammaproteobacteria; Enterobacterales; Enterobacteriaceae
Description: bacterial SSU rRNA
Rfam family: Bacterial small subunit ribosomal RNA
Source: RNAcentral